RNAcentral lists this ribosomal RNA (253 nucleotides) under uncultured bacterium. Its description in RNAcentral is "partial 16S ribosomal RNA". It matches the Rfam family "Bacterial small subunit ribosomal RNA", at positions 524 to 776 of the family's 1533-position model. The record is from RNAcentral.
UACGGGGGAUGCAAGCGCUAUCCGGAAUUAUUGGGCGUAAAGCGUCCGCAGGUGGCUAGACAAGUCUGCUGUCAAAGACUGGAGCGCAACUCCGGGCAGGCGGUGGGAACUGUCGAGCUUGAGAACGGUAGGGGUAGAGGGAAUUCCCAGUGUAGCGGUGAAAGGCGGAGAGAUUGGGAAGAACACCAGUGGCGAAGUCGCUCUACUGGGCCGUAACUGACGCUCAGCUAUGAAUGCUAAGGUAGUGAAAGGG